RNAcentral lists this ribosomal RNA (253 nucleotides) under uncultured bacterium. RNAcentral's name for it is "partial 16S ribosomal RNA". It matches the Rfam family "Bacterial small subunit ribosomal RNA", at positions 524 to 776 of the family's 1533-position model. The record is from RNAcentral.
UACAGAGGUCUCAAGCGUUGUUCGGAUUCAUUGGGCGUAAAGGGUGCGUAGGCGGCGCGGUAAGUCGGACGUGAAAUCCCUCGGCUUAACCGGGGAACUGCGUCCGAUACUGGAUGGCUUGAGAUUGGGAGAGGGAUGCGGAAUUCCAGGUGUAGCGGUGAAAUGCGUAGAUAUCUGGAGGAACACCGGUGGCGAAGGCGGCAUCCUGGACCAACACUGACGCUGAUGAGCGAAAGCCAGGGGAGCAAACGGG